This 102-nucleotide non-coding RNA is filed under the name Clostridium tetanomorphum. RNAcentral describes it as "Guanine sequence". It matches the Rfam family "Purine riboswitch aptamer". From Rfam's summary of the family: Riboswitches are metabolite binding domains within certain messenger RNAs that serve as precision sensors for their corresponding targets. Allosteric rearrangement of mRNA structure is mediated by ligand binding, and this results in modulation of gene expression. Lineage: Bacteria; Bacillati; Bacillota; Clostridia; Eubacteriales; Clostridiaceae. The record is from Rfam by way of RNAcentral.
AAAACAAAUGUUGUUCGCACUUGUAUAUGCUGGAUAAUAUGGUUUCAGCGUUUCUACCAGGCAACCGUAAAUAGCCUGACUAUGGGUGUUUAUAUUAUGAUU